This 435-nucleotide ribosomal RNA is filed under the name uncultured bacterium. Its description in RNAcentral is "partial 16S ribosomal RNA". It matches the Rfam family "Bacterial small subunit ribosomal RNA", at positions 29 to 507 of the family's 1533-position model. The record is from RNAcentral.
AGCGAACGCUGGCGGCAGGCUUAACACAUGCAAGUCGAGCGGGCACUUUCGGGUGUCAGCGGCGGACGGGUGAGUAACGCGUGGGAACGUGCCCUCUGGUUCGGAAUAACUCAGGGAAACUUGAGCUAAUACCGGAUACGCCCUUUUGGGGAAAGGCUUGCUGCCGGAGGAUCGGCCCGCGUCUGAUUAGCUAGUUGGUGAGGUAACGGCUCACCAAGGCGACGAUCAGUAGCUGGUCUGAGAGGAUGAUCAGCCACACUGGGACCGAGACACGGCCCAGAAUCCUACGGGAGGCAGCAGUGGGGAAUAUUGGACAAGGGGCGCAAGCCUGAUCCAGCCAUGCCGCGGGAGUGAUGAAGGCCUUAGGGUUGUAAAGCUCGUUUAUCCGGGACGAUAAUGACGGUACCGGAGGAAUAAGCCCCGGCUAACUUCGUG